UACGUAGGGGGCAAGCGUUGUCCGGAUUUAUUGGGCGUAAAGAGCUCGUAGGCGGCUUGGCAAGUCGGGUGUGAAAACUUCAGGCUCAACCUGGAGCGGCCACUCGAUACUGCCAUGGCUUGAGUCCGGUAGGGGAGUGUGGAAUUCCCGGUGUAGCGGUGAAAUGCGCAGAUAUCGGGAGGAACACCGAUGGCGAAGGCAGCACUCUGGGCCGGCACUGACGCUGAGGAGCGAAAGCGUGGGGAGCGAACAGG
Molecule: ribosomal RNA, 254 nt
Filed under: uncultured bacterium
Lineage: Bacteria
Description: partial 16S ribosomal RNA
Rfam family: Bacterial small subunit ribosomal RNA
Source: RNAcentral